Long non-coding RNA from Cyprinus carpio carpio, 1907 nucleotides. NCBI's taxonomy places the organism in Eukaryota, Metazoa, Chordata, Actinopteri, Cypriniformes, Cyprinidae. The record is from Ensembl.
GUCCGUGUAUCUUUUGGUCAUUGGAUUUUCCUUUCUGAAACGGAUAUUAAAAAACAAAAAACAAGUGGUUAUUUGAUUUUUGUUUUAAAAUACAAAAUUUAAAAUUAAAAUACAAAGCGUUUCUCUUUUUCAGUGUCAAACAGAGAUGAGCGAAAUUUUAAAAAUGAUUUGAAUUUCAAUUUCUAUUUCGGAUAUCAAAAAAUAAAAUUACUUUAAAACAGAAACCAAAAAAGGCCCGUUUGUUCAUAUUCCGAGACCGGAUGUGGUUAGCACUCACGUGACAAGACCGCCACAUUUGACAGAGUUGUUAAGAAAUUGUGCUGUGACUGUCACUGAUGUGCCAGGUGUGCUAAUUGAGCGUGAUCAUAGAGCAGACAUGGAGCAAUACGUUGUUUUUCGAAACAAUAAAAGAGUCUCUCUCAGGGAAGAAGACAUGACUGCAGAAAAAAAUAAGUCGCAUUUUCCAGGUCUCAGCACAUAGUCUAUACGUGACUGACGACGCAAAUGUGGCCAUUUUUCCUGGAGCUUCUGGUUUUUUUAGCACAUUGGACCUUACACCAAGAGCUCACUAUGAGGUUCACGGUGAGGAGGAGGACGCCUCAUCAGCUUCAAAUGCCACAGCUCGUUUUACGUUCAUGCGAUCACCUGCGACUGCUACUAACGUUACUCCUAGUCCAUCAUCAUCUGCUCAGCGGGCUGCCUCAGCCCCCCUCAGAGCCACUGCCUCUAAAACAUUUCAAAGAUCGGUUUUUCUUGCUGAGGUGGUUGGUGGGAGGCUGAGUCCCAGCAGAAUGGUGGUGGUCCGGUUUUUGGAAUCUGAGGCUACCCUUCAGGGGAUAAUCGGUAAAGUUCAAGAUGCCAUUGGAUGUCAUGACCCAAUGGUAUUGACUGAUGUGCAGGGGAAUGCAAUUUUGGAGUCUGAAGGCACAACUGGGUCCCAGUACUGGAAACAAAAUGCUAGAAAGAUUCUUGCUAUACAAGAACAGGCCUUCCAGGAGGUACAGGGCUCUAAAAGGAGGAGAAUGAGCCGAAAAGAUGAAGAUGCUGCUGGAAUUGGAGAGGUCACUGAGAAGAUAGAAGAGCUUGUACUGGCAUCACAGACCUUACCAGAUAUCACUGCAGCAAUCAGAGAGCUCACCAAUCUAGCUGCCACUCAAAGAGUGAUCCUGACUCCUUCCCAGCUACAGACCAUCAAGCAAGGAUUCUGCUGUGUUAUUUGUAUGAAAUUCAUCGAGGAGCCAGUCUUCACAGAGUGUUGCCGGAGCAUUAUUGGCUGCAAAACAUGUGUGGUACAGUGGCAGGAGACCUCUGUGCACUGUGCAAAAUGUAGAGGGAACACUGCAAACAACACCAUAUUUGAAAUUAAUGGUCUGUCAGAGACAUUUUCUGUUCUGAGAUCCCUUUUUGAAGAGGAGUAACGUUGAAUUUUUACACAAAUUUAAAGUUAACAGUCUUCAAGUUAAAUAGAGCUAAUGGCUUUUCACACAUUGCGCUGAGUUGUGGUUAUAAGACAGAGCAAUGCCUGUUUGUAUGGGGCAAAGUCAUUGUUCACUGCUCUAGAGUACAAUUCUGACAUGUCUGAAUAAUGCUCGGCAAACUGGUUCUCAACUGUAAUCUUGUCCUGUUCAGUUGAAAAUGGAUCAACUCCAAAAGUUGAAUGCCUGGUCAGUGAUGAUCCCAGCUGUUGGCUGUAAAGGUCUGCUGCUUCAGCUGAAUGAGGCAACAGCUCCUGUUGGAUUUUUUUGGGACACCCACGGCCAGCCAAGUCAUUUGGUGUUCCUUUACCUGUAAAAUAAAGAACAUACUGUUGGUAUUGAAACUUAUGAAUGCCUCUUGUAAUAAUUGUAAUCUUCGAAACACGGUUUUAUUUCACCUGGAAUUCUAUGAGCAUUCCAUGACUCCACCAG